GAUAAAAUCUGAAGGAGGAGUCAAAAGCUUUUUUCAGACUGUGAAAGAUGAUUGUGUUUUCCUACAGACUGCUAGGAGAAGAAUGUGGUCUUUGGACAAGGUCUGGUUAAAACUCUUCAGGUUACUUGACAACAACGAAGAGAAGCGUUUUACUGGGGCCAUGAUGAUGUGAGGCCACAGUGACAGCCACUUCAUGAGCUUCUUGUGACUGGUCCUGUAUUGAGGAUGUGUACCCUUACAGCUGGAGACCUUGGAGUGACUUGUGAGAGUAUUCUCUUGCCUUCUGAUGCGCUGUGAAACUUGGGGUGAAGAAUGGUGAGAAUAAGCUGUAGAAAAGUUUAAUGUGUUUCAUUAGAUUUUUCAUCUUUAAAUUGCUUACAACUAUUAUGCCUUUAUCCAAUGACUUGGGGUUCUCCAAGCUAUC
RNAcentral lists this long non-coding RNA (424 nucleotides) under Anser brachyrhynchus (Pink-footed goose). RNAcentral describes it as "lncRNA (ENSABRG00000006275.1)". The record is from RNAcentral. Lineage: Eukaryota; Metazoa; Chordata; Aves; Anseriformes; Anatidae.